This 430-nucleotide ribosomal RNA is filed under the name uncultured archaeon. RNAcentral describes it as "bacterial SSU rRNA". It matches the Rfam family "Archaeal small subunit ribosomal RNA", at positions 474 to 903 of the family's 1478-position model. The record is from RNAcentral.
UACCUGCAGCUCGAGUGGUAACCGCUUUUAUUGGGCCUAAAGCGUCCGUAGCCGGUUUAGUAAAUAUUUGGGUAAAUCGUGAGGCUUAACUUCACGAAUUUCGGAUAGACUGCUAAACUUGGGACCGGGGGAGGUCAGAGGUACUCCAGGGGUAGCGGUGAAAUGUUGUAAUCCUUGGAGGACCACCGGUAGCGAAGGCGUCUGACUAGAACGGGUCCGAUGGUGAGGGACGAAGCCCUGGGGCGCAAACCGGAUUAGAUACCCGGGUAGUCCAGGGUGUAAACGAUGUGGGCUUUGUAUUGGAGGUCCCACGUGGGCGUCCAGUGCAGGAGAGAAGUUGUUAAGCCCACCGCCUGGGAAGUACGGUCGCAAGGCUAGAAACUUAAAGGAAUUGGCGGGGGAGCACAGCAACGGGAGGAGCGUGCGGUUU